This 257-nucleotide ribosomal RNA is filed under the name uncultured bacterium. RNAcentral describes it as "partial 16S ribosomal RNA". It matches the Rfam family "Bacterial small subunit ribosomal RNA", at positions 793 to 1055 of the family's 1533-position model. The record is from RNAcentral.
GUCCACACGGUAAACGAUGAAUACUCGCUGUUGGCGAUAGACUGUCAGCGGCCAAGCGAAAGCAUUAAGUAUUCCACCUGGGGAGUACGCCGGCAACGGUGAAACUCAAAGGAAUUGACGGGGGCCCGCACAAGCGGAGGAACAUGUGGUUUAAUUCGAUGAUACGCGAGGAACCUUACCCGGGCUUAAAUUGCACUGGACAGUCUGAGAGAUCAGAUUUUCUUCGGACCAGUGUGAAGGUGCUGCAUGGUUGUCGU